UACAGAGGGGGCAAGCGUUAUUCGGAAUUAUUGGGCGUAAAGAGCUCGUAGGCGGCUUGGCAAGUCGGAUGUGAAAACUCCAGGCUCAACCUGGAGCCGCCAUUCGAUACUGCUAUGGCUAGAGUCCGGUAGGGGAGUGUGGAAUUCCCGGUGUAGCGGUGAAAUGCGCAGAUAUCGGGAGGAACACCGAUGGCGAAGGCAGCACUCUGGGCCGGCACUGACGCUGAGGAGCGAAAGCGUGGGGAGCGAACAGG
Molecule: ribosomal RNA, 254 nt
Filed under: uncultured bacterium
Lineage: Bacteria
Description: partial 16S ribosomal RNA
Rfam family: Bacterial small subunit ribosomal RNA
Source: RNAcentral